UGUCGGUACAAAAUCAAACCAGUGAAAUAAGUUACGACGUUAAUAAUUUGAAAUAACUUGGAAACAUUAAACCAUUGCAGGAAAUUAAAACUUUACAACUGGAUUUUCAGGCAAUUUCUGCUCAAAUGCAUUCCUUUACUGUAAACGAAUGUGUACAUAGUCAAGAUUACCUUGCCUUAUAUAACAUUACGAUAGAACAAAAUUUAUAUGACGCAAG
This 217-nucleotide long non-coding RNA is filed under the name Mytilus galloprovincialis (Mediterranean mussel). The record is from RNAcentral. Lineage: Eukaryota; Metazoa; Mollusca; Bivalvia; Mytilida; Mytilidae.